Molecule: ribosomal RNA, 548 nt
Filed under: uncultured bacterium
Lineage: Bacteria
Description: bacterial SSU rRNA
Rfam family: Bacterial small subunit ribosomal RNA
Source: RNAcentral
UGGGGAAUUUUGGACAAUGGACGACNNUCUGAUCCAGCCAUGCCGCGUGCGGGAAGAAGGCCUUCGGGUUGUAAACCGCUUUUGUCAGGGAAGAAAUCCUUUGAGCUAAUACCUCGGGGGGAUGACGGUACCUGAAGAAUAAGCACCGGCUAACUACGUGCCAGCAGCCGCGGUAAUACGUAGGGUGCAAGCGUUAAUCGGAAUUACUGGGCGUAAAGCGUGCGCAGGCGGUUAUGUAAGACAGAGGUGAAAUCCCCGGGCUCAACCUGGGAACUGCCUUUGUGACUGCAUAGCUUGAGUGCGGCAGAGGGGGAUGGAAUUCCGCGUGUAGCAGUGAAAUGCGUAGAUAUGCGGAGGAACACCGAUGGCGAAGGCAAUCCCCUGGGCCUGCACUGACGCUCAUGCACGAAAGCGUGGGGAGCAAACAGGAUUAGAUACCCUGGUAGUCCACGCCCUAAACGAUGUCAACUGGUUGUUGGGAAGGUUCCUUCUCAGUAACGUAGCUAACGCGUGAAGUUGACCGCCUGGGGAGUACGGCCGCAAGGUUG